CCUACGGGUGGCAGCAGUAGGGAAUCUUCGGCAAUGGGGGGAACCCUGACCGAGCAACGCCGCGUGAACGAAGAAGUUAUUCGUAAUGUAAAGUUCUUUUAACAGGGAAGAAAGAGAAAUUUGACGGUACCUGAAGAAUAAGCUCCGGCAAACUACGUCCCAGCAGCCGAGGUAAUACGUAGGGAGCGAGCGUUAUACGGAUUUAUUGGGCGAAAAGGGUGCGUAGAUGGCAUAGUAAGUCGUUUGUAAAAAUGCUGGGCUAAACCCAGUAGGGCAAAAGAUACUGCAAAGCUAGAGUAUGACAGAGGCAAGUGGAACUACAUGUGUAGCGGUAAAAUGCGUAAAUAUAUGUAAGAACACCAGUGGCGAAGGCGGCUUGCUGGGUCGAUACUGACAUUGAGGCACGAAAGCGUGGGGAGCAAACAGGAUUAGAUACCCUUGUAGUC
Molecule: ribosomal RNA, 446 nt
Filed under: uncultured bacterium
Lineage: Bacteria
Description: partial 16S ribosomal RNA
Rfam family: Bacterial small subunit ribosomal RNA
Source: RNAcentral